Molecule: ribosomal RNA, 253 nt
Filed under: uncultured bacterium
Lineage: Bacteria
Description: partial 16S ribosomal RNA
Rfam family: Bacterial small subunit ribosomal RNA
Source: RNAcentral
UACGGGGGGGGCAAGCGUUGUUCGGAAUUACUGGGCGUAAAGGGUUCGUAGGCGGUGCGGCAAGUUGGGUGUGAAAUCUCUGGGCUUAACCCAGAGGCUGCUUCCAAAACUGCUGUGCUUGAGUGUGGGAGAGGCGCGUGGAAUUGCAGGUGUAGCGGUGAAAUGCGUAGAUAUCUGCAGGAACACCCGUGGCGAAAGCGGCAUCCUGGACCGGCAUUGACGCUGAUGAGCGAAAGCUAGGGGAGCAAACGGG